CUUGGACAGAUGCAUCACGCCCACCACAGGUCAAUGAGUCAGAGCGCAGCAGGAACAGAGACUGCAUAUGGGGCCCACCCCGACGGCCAACCAGCGUACACGGUGAGAUGUCUCCUGAAGCUUCAACCUCGGGGCAGGGGAUUCCAGUACCUGGUUGACUGGGAGGGUUAUGGUCCGGAGGAGAGGUGCCUGGUCCCCGCUAGGGACAUCCUGGACCCAGGCCUCAUCGCUGAUUUCCGACGCCGGCACACCUGUCAACCAGGUAUGCACCCAGUUCCUGUUUUCUAGUUUUGACCAUUUUGUCUGCCUUGACCCUGAGCCUGCCUGCUGUUCU
Long non-coding RNA from Oncorhynchus tshawytscha (Chinook salmon), 334 nucleotides. The record is from Ensembl. Lineage: Eukaryota; Metazoa; Chordata; Actinopteri; Salmoniformes; Salmonidae.